UCUUCCAUCUAUUAGUUCACUCCCCAAAUGGCUGCAAUGGCCCAGGCUGGGCUAAGCUGAAACCAGGAGCCAAUAGCUUCAUGUGUGUCUCCCACUUGGGUGGCAGGGGCCCAAGCACUUAGGCCAUCUUUGGCUGCUUUCCUAGAUGUAUUAGCACAGAUCUGGGUCAGAAUUGGAGCAUCUGGGACUUGAACUGGUGCCUACAGGAUAUGCUGGCAUUUCAGGUGGCAGUUUAGUCCAGUGUGCCACAGUGCUGGUCCCAAGAAUUUCAUGCUUCUGUAAAAUUAACAACCAUAUGAAAGCCGUUGUCUUAUUAGGACUUGUUAAUGGAAAUGAAGAUUGUUAGGCAAUGAUUAUGAAGGUGAAGGACAAUUCAAUAUCAGAUAUUGGGAAUUUACUUGGAUAGAGGUAUGUGUACGAGAGACAACUGUAAAGACUGUUUCUUAAACCAAAGCUAAGGAUCAGUCUUGUAAAGCCACAAGCCACUAUUUUGUGCAAGGAAAAGUGAUUGAAUUUUCAGUUCAGAAUUUUAUUUGUUGGUUAAAGAAGAAUGUGAUUGUUGAACCCCAAGUGAUUGGGUGAUUGUUGAGCCCCAAGUCCUUUAUUGGUUUAGAUAGUUGCAGGUUCACCAUUAGUAUUUUUAAAAAAUAUUUAUUUGGAAAGCAAAAUUGAGAGAAAGAGAGAGGGAGAGAGAGAGAGAGAGAGGGAGAGAGAGAGAGAGCAAGAGCAAGAGAGAUAACUUACAUUUGUGGUUUCACUCCCCAAAUGGCCAGGAGAUUCUUUUGGGUCUCCCAUGUGGGUGCAGGGGCCCAAGGACUUGGGCCAUCUUCCAUUGCUUUCUCAGGCCAUAGCAGAGAGCUGGAUUGGAAGUGGAGCAGCUGGGGCUUGAAUCAGCACCCAUAUUGGAUGCUGGCAUUAUGGGCAGAGGCUUUAUCCACUAUGCCCCAGUGCUGGCCCCUAUAGCUACAAUUCUAAGAAUAUAAUGAUAUGUCCAUUCUUUCACUCUCAUUCUCUCUCUCUCUCUCUCUCUCCCUCUCUUUUAUUCUUUGUUCUUUCUCUCUUUAUUUUUGACAUAAAAUAUUUUUAAUUUACAUUAUUGUCAAAGGCUUAAAGUAAGAAGACCUCUGAAUCAGUGGGAAUAUAGGCAAGGACUAUAAACAGUAAGAGUUGGCAUAAAUGAUUAAUCAGCAACAUACAAAGCUAUUCUUUUCUCUGAUGUGCUGAUGGCAUUUCUAAGGGGGUUAUCACUGUAGAGGUAUUUUCAGUUUGGACUCUAAGACAGAGACACUUUUGCUGCAAAUUUUUUUUUUUAAACUCAACAGAUAACAUGGGCCAGAAAUCAAAGGAGAAAAUUGUACAUUAAAAGCACAGAUAUGUUAUCCAAAACCUAUAUUUUGAGCUAGCACUCAGCAAAUUAAACUUUAAUCAUAUUGGUCCUGAAACAGGAGUCCUUGGGUGGGUUUGAGACAAGAGCAAUACGAGACGUGAGAAAGAGAUUCCAAAUGGAGCUGUAUGGGCUUGUGCUAGACAAGCUGUCUAAAGAUUAGUACGGGUUUCCCAGGGGAGGGAAAUAGUCGGUGAUAGCAGACUCAAAGUGCACAUUUUAUUGUUUACAAAGUAUAAAGGCAACAUAUUUUUGUGUUUAUCAUUGUAUAUGUAAAAUAUAUAUGCAAGUAUUUAUCAUUUCAAAAUCAAAGACUUCCUUCCACACCCAGUUUGACAUUUAAGAGACAAAUAUAUCUGAAUAUGAAAGUUUCUCAAAAAUUACAAAAAUAAAAAUUCUGGCUCCCCAAUUUGGCAAAACAGUGACAGGUUGUACUUUUAGGCUUCUGUUUCAGUAAAGUAUAUACCUCUAAAUAUGUUUCAGUAUUUGUCUUAAAUCUUAUCUCACUUAUUCCUUUUAACUGUACACUAUUCACUGUUUUAGCCAAUGUGCCAUCAUUUUCUCAGUCAACCAUCGAGCCUUCUUAGUUUCUUUCUAAGCAUUAGACUUUUUUGAUCCCACUUCCUCAUCUCUUCCUGUAUAAAUGUGGGAGUCAAACUUAGUUUUGGCUGGUUUUCAGAGACUGUGAAUGGACAUUGGAUGUAGAGAUGGUGUUGGGCUGGCUCAGGGUGCAGGGUUAGCACCGCGAACUGGACAAAAGCUUUCCAGGCAGAGCUCGCUGGGCUACAAAAUGAAAGGAUCAAAUCUGAGGUUCCCAGAAGUUGUUUUGUGUGAUGAGGCCAGGCAUGCAUACUCAGGUGCAACCUCUGAUUUCCUUUUGCAUGUCCUCUGUUAUUGACCUUUAUUAGGAAACUCUUUUGGGUAUUAUUAUGAAACUAAAAAUAAAUAUAAAGGAAUGAAUGUAAAGUGUAAAAUGGAAAAGAUGAAAAAAUAGGAAAUGGACUGUUGUGGAACAAAUCUGGCAGACACUAAAAAAUCCUGCUGUGAGGAGCAGGCAUAUAGUCUCUGUUAGGACACCUUCAUGCAGGAUCAGUGUGUUUGCAUUCUAUGCCCAGCUUUGGCUCUGGUCUCCAGCUUCCUGCUAUUCCUGCCAUCCAGGUGGGAGACCUGGAUUGAGUUUUCAGCUCUGGGUUUUGGUAUCCAGCCCACGGCAAUUACAGGCAUUACUUUGGGGAUUGAACCAGCAGUUAGUAACUCUCUCUGUGUCUAGUCUAUCUGUUCACCUCUUUAAGAAAAUCCCUUUGUGAGAUAACCUUGAUAUAAACAUGAGUCAUGGAGAUGAAAAAGUAAAGAUAUGAAUAUGUACAGGGAGAAUUUUUGUGUUGUAAAUGGUGGAAUAUAGUGACUGAUAGAUAAGGAGUUGACAAGGAUGCUGUACAAGGUUCUUAGUUUAAGAAGAGAGGCAAGUCUUGAGAGGAAUGAUAAUGAAUUUCCUGUUUAGAAUAUGUUGAAUUUGAGAUGUCAGAGUGUCCUCCAAGUGAAGAUAUAGAAUAGGAAAUUAUAUAUACAGGCAUGGUACUUGUGAGAUUUUUGAGCAAAUGACAAUACACUAACAGCGGCAAUAAUAGUUAUAUAUAUAACAGUAUAUCUAUCUAUCUAUCUAUCAACUGUGUGGCUAAUUGUAUUUCCAUGCUGUACACAAAAUAUUUUCUUUUUUUUAAGGUUACUGAUUUUUAAAAUUUUGGAUUAACAUUCAAUUUUACAUUAUUAUGGGAUGCAAUAUUUCAAUAGAUAUGCAUAGCAUAAACCAAUGAUACUGGGUUAUUAGCUCUUCCAUUUCAUUUAUCAUGAAUUAUAGCUACCCGACUGUUCUGUGGAACACCAGAACCCAUUACCUUUACCCAAUUGUGUUUUGAUGCCCAGUAUCCAGUUUCUGCUCAUCCUCCACCAUUCUCAUCAGUUGGUAAUCACGGUUUUAGAAUCACAAAGGUUGUGUGUAUAACCCUGCACCUGCAGGGCAGCUCACCACCACCUUCACUGUGUAUGUAUAUGUGUGUGUUAUAUAUCAUAUAUAUAUACAUAUGAGAUGUAUGUAUAUAGUACCCAAGAUGUAUAAUCAGCCUAGAUGUCUAUCUGUGGAUGAAUGGAUAAAGAAAAGAUAAUAUAUAUACACAAUGGACUAUUAUGCAAUCAUAAUAAGAAUGAAAUACUGACAUUUGCAACAUAAUGGAUGGAGUUGGAUAUCAUCACAUUAAGUGAAAUAAACCAGAUAUACCAAGUGUUUUCUGUUCUAUGCGUCUGUCUCUAUCUCUGUUCUUAUGCCCGUUUCUUCUGUGUUAGACUGUCCUUUCCCUGAUUCUAGAUUUAUUUCUACCAGGGACAACGUUUCUAGGUUGUGGCAACAACAUUUUUUGACUUUCCAAUACUUCCAUACUUUACUCCCUCAUUAUUCUUCAGUUAUUUUAGUGGUAUUUUGGGAGUUUGCCAUCUUGGAAUUGAAGCCAGAACUGUGAAUUGAGGCAUUAUCUGCUUGCUCAAGUUUGAUCACAUUUUGAAAUGCAUUAAACUUUUUAUGAUAAUAUUUAAUGAUUUCAUUGUACCAAAUUGCAUUCCAGUGUAGUCUGAAAAAUAUGGCUGGGUUCAGCAUUGUGUCGCAGCAGGUUAAGCUGCUGCCUGCAACACUAGCAUUCCAUAUGAGCACCAUUUGCAUCACAAUUGCUCCACUUCCAAUCCAGUACCUGCUAACAUGCUUGGAAAAGCACUGGAAGCUGGCCCAGUUCCUUGGACCCCUGGCAUGCCCAUGGGAGACCUAUAUGGUAUUCUAUGCUCCGGGCUUUGGCCUGGCCCACCUUGUUGCUGGGGCCAUCUGGGAAAGUGAACCAGCAGAUGUAAGAUGGCUCUCUUCAUCUCUCCCUCUCUCUGUGUCCUUCAAAUCUAUCAAUAUCAGUCAAUAUUUAAAUAAACCAGAGCUUCAAUGAAAUGUUGAUCUCUUCACUGUCAUGGAAAAAAUGAUUCUAAACAAAUUUAAGAUCAAAAUGCUCUAGUUUUCUCAUCCUUCUUUUUCCAAAAAGAGAACACAAGAAAUGAUUCUUUAUAUAUUUUUUAAAAAUAAAAUCAAAAGCUAUAUUGAAAAUUUAGAGAAUGUGAAAAAGUGCAGCAAGACAUUUUUAAAAGCAUCCACAACACUACCACCCAUAUGUAAGUACUGUAAAUAUUUGUAUAUAUUUGUAUAUAUUUCCGGGUGUCCCACAUGGGUGCAGGGACCCAAGCACUUGGUCCUUCCUCUACUGUUUUCCAAGGCCAUCAGCAGGGAGCUAGAUCGGAGUGGAGAAGCUGGGAUUGGAAUCAGCGCCCACAAGGGAUGCCAGUGCCAUAGGCAGAGGGUUAGCCUACUACGUCACAAUGCCAGCCCCCUCUAAAUUAUUUUUUAAUUAAUUAAUUUAUUUGAAUGGCAAAGGAUGAGAGCAAGAUAGAAAGAGACAGACAGAGAUCUUCUAUUUUCUGGUUCAUUCCUCAAAUGGCUGCAACAGCUAGGGCUGUGCCAGGCUGAAGCAAGGAGACAAGAAUGCCAUCUGUGUUUUUCACAUGUGUGGCAGGAACUCAGGUACUUGAUCCAUUAUCUGCUACCUUCCAGGUGUAUUAGUAGGAAUCUGGGUCAGAGGCAGAAGUGGAACUCAAUCCCAGGAACUGUGAUAUGGAAUGUGGGUAUUGUAAGUGCCAGGUUAACUUGCUAAGCCACAGCCCUGACCCCUAGUUUCUUUUCUAUGCAUAAAUGUGAAAGCACGUAUUUUUGUGUGUAUACAGAAAUACAUUUUGUAAAAUUAGGAUACACUAUUAAUCCUUCUUUUAGUAAUAUAGCAUAAGCACCUUCACCAUAUAUUUUAUCUUUAAGAAUAUUUUAGUAGUGGCAUGUAGUCAAUGAUAUUGAUACUCCAUAAUUUAAUUAAACUACCGUUGUUUUCAAAGAUUUCUUUGCCUUCAUAAAUAGUUCUCAAUAAGCAUAUUUAUAAAUAAAUUUGCAUGCCUAUUUUAGUAAAUACGAGAAAACUCCCUGAAGGGUGUGAAGGUUAGCUGGCUGUGACACGGAACACCCAUUGGUCACCAGGGUAUUUUCAGUUUAAUUGACUGGCUAGAUGCAAGUCCCAUUUGAAACCACCUGGUCCAUUCGACAAUCAGAGAUAAAGCAGAGUGUUCUUUGCUUGUGGUCUUAUGUGUAGCUGCAUGGGCUUGAUAACUAGUCUCCAGAGGUAGCCUCCUAAUGAACCACACCUCCAGAUACUCACUCCCCUGUGCAGUCCCCUGUCCACCUUGAAUUUAUGUUGCCUCUGUGAAAAUAACAGGAAGAAUUGCUACAUGACUUUCAUGAGUAGUCUACAAGAAAUUAUGCAGCCUCUUUUUGUAUUUCUGUAAUAUUCAUUCUGGGGAAGUCAGUCAAAAUAUAUUAAAUAAAAACCCAGCUAUAUUAAGAAUGUCAUUUCAAGGAAGUCCAAUGAGGAAACAUGAGAAAAAUGCUUUGAUAUUGCUUUGUUUUCUUCUAUAUUUGUUACCACAUAUAAAAUAGACCUUUGAAUAUUUCAUUUUCACUUUCAGUGUAAAGAACACAUAAAAGUAUUGCAAAUAGCCAAGAAGAAAAACUAGCAGGACUAAAGCUUGGACAGCCUUCAGUUGAGCCAGCUGAAGUCUCAGAUGUAUGAGUGAAGAAGUCUUCUUGGACAGUCAGCUCAGCUGAGUCUGAAGAUAGCUCCAGACCCAGUCAUCAUUUUAUUAAAACCAUUGAGGGAUGGUCAUUUAGCCUCGCUGUUAGCACAUUUCACGUCCCACACCAGCAUGCCUGACCCUGAUAGCCACCUCUGUCUCCUGGCUUUAGCUUCCUGCCAAUGCAGACCCUGGGAGGCAGUGAUGCUGGCUCAAGUUACUUGGGUUCCUGCCACCCACUUGGGAGACCUGGACUGAGUUCCUGGGUGCACUGGGUUCCUGGCCUAGCCAACCCCAGUUGUUGAAGGCAUUUGGAAACUAAACCAGAAUAUGAGAGUUCUCUCAUUCUCCCCUUCCUUCUCAAAUAAAAAAAAAAUCCUAUAUGAAAAUGUGAAGCCUCAGUGAGUUUAACAACCCAGGAAGGCCAAUAAGCAUUCAGAAUUAGAAAAGGCAAAUAACUUGUUUUUAGGGCUAUCUAGUAUGAAGCAUUAGAUAACUGGAGCAAUGGGCAUUUGGAGAGUACUUCUAAAGUUCAUGGAAAGUGUAUUAUAUUAAAUAAAAAGCUAUGCAUUGAUUUCAAGAAUUUUUGCACCACAGUAAACUUAUUUUUUAAUUUCCUUUGCUCAAGAAUUUAUUGAAGCAGCCUCAUUUGUUUGAUAGAAAUACUUGGAAAGACUUCCAUGCAUCCCCUUAAGACCAGCCCUCUUCUGUUAGAUUGAAUUCCCAGAGGAAAUCCUGAAGGGCCACACCAAGAGGUGCGUGGAAACAGAGCCAUUGACUCUUAAAGACAACUUGGGAGACUGUGUACAGUUGGAUUCAAGAGGAAGAUGCUACUCCUAUUGCAGUGUUUUCUUCUGUAUUUAGAAUAAAUGAUAGGCCUUUUGAAUUUUCUCAUUCCGUGGAAGGAAUCCCUAAAAAUGAUGUCAGUGUAGGAAUUAUAUUUAGUCCCAGUGUGAAACAAACCAAUGAACACAACUUACUUCAAAAUUAUGAGCUAGAAUAUUUAUUAGGUUCAUCACAGCAAUCAUUCUCAUUACUAACAUUUAUUUAAAUGAGCAAAGCAUGUGACGUUAGGUGCUCGUAUUAAGGGUAUGUUCCUAAAGAAAUAAGGUCUGAAAUCAACUCUGUUUCCUACAGUGAUAGCAAGUGGCAUCUUUAUUUUUCCUAUGUAAGUUAAAUCAUCCUUAUCAAUGCUGCUGAAGUUAUGAACUGUUUGCUGUCUGCUUCUAGCACCAUGGGAGCACCCUAUAAAAAGAAAACAUGAUUAUGGUCCAUGAACAGGUUAGAGCAGGUAAGACUAAACAUCAGAUAAGACCGUUACAGGAGUGGAAUCACUUCAAGUCCUAAGCAGUAACCAAAGUUGGCCAGGCCUGCAGAAGGACACUUUAAAGAGACUCAGAAAGGCAAUAAACCAGAAAAUCAAACCUCUGAUAAGGAGAGGAUGCUUUCUAGAAGUGAGUGUGAUGGGGAGAUGCAUUCAGAUUUGAUAAGAAAAGUUGCCAAGUUCUUACAAAGAUUAUGUAUGGGUAUUCAGGUUGAGAAAUGAAUAAAAACAAUGUUUUCCAAAGAACAUGUCAAAAUUAAUGUUAUAGCAUAGAUUAAGAAACACAUCAUAGCUUUUCUUUUUUUUUAAAUUAUUUUAUUUUGUUUAAGGAAUACAACUUCUCUUUUUCUCCACAGUAGGAACAUGCUAUUUUGCUCCUAUAAUUGUGGAUCUGUUAUAUCAUUUAUUGGUCCUUGUAUUUCGGUUUAUAGUCCUUUUUUCCUGAAGCUUCUCCAAAAUUGGAAUUAUUGGAUAGAAAUGCACUCUUUAUUAACAUAAUUUUGCUAUAUUCUAAAAAAAACCCCUAGGUUUGAAGUAGAUUAGUAGGCUAUACAAACCCAAAUCAGUCAUAUUACAUUAAAAACAGACUUUGUAAUACUAAUAAUUUUGUUAGUAUCAGAUGCCAAGCACAGCCUUUCAGAUGUAAAGAGAAUGACAAGGAACAAGAACACCAUAAAAAGUGGCACCAGGGCUGAGAAACACCUUCUGGCAGAUCCACGUGGGUCACUGAGUAUUUCUUGUGUGUCCCUGUUCGUAGCCACCCAUCCUGAUUUUCCAGUAUGUGACCGCUGUUCUCAACUGUUGAUCUAUCAAAUUUCCAUCUUAGAGUUAUGAUAAAGAUUUAGAUGACUUCUCCAUGACUGAACCUUUCAGAUUACUAAAGCCGUCCAAUUUUGCUUAUUGUUUCUCAGCACAGGUUUUGCAAGUACAGGAAGUAUAAACCGCUGGUUUUGAUUUUACAAAUCCCUGGCUAACACUGGGCACGGAUUUGAGGUGCUGUGUAAGGUGCCCUGAAUACGUAUAUAGAUGGCACCAGAAUUACCCUCAACUCCACCUUUCUUGUGCUUCUGGGCUAUUUAACUAUCACAAGAAUUUUUUUUUUCUCAGUGAUUUAAGAUGCAGCUUCAGAUUCCUUCUCAACACAACAUUUCAUGGAGCUGCAGCCAAUCAAAAGGAAUUGAUAAGUAGAUUAAAACCUAACUGCCAUUCAUGACACCCAGGAAAGUGUAAAUUCAAAAAUGUUCUUGUAAUCUGUCAAAGUCACCUUUAGAAAUUUAGAUUUCCCCUUGCCUUUCCUAAAUAGAUUUUUCACUUUAAUUAGAUGUAUGAUUACUUUUCUUGUCUUUAUACAUAGGGGCUGAUCAGCCAAAUGUAAGUGUUUAGUUAUAACCUUGCAAAUUCAGAAAGAAGCUUUAAAUCAGGAUGAAAAAAGAAAUCAAUGAGUUUAAUUAACACCAUUGUUGAGUAGUCAGCAACUGUUUUGAACUUCUAACUUUUCAAAAUAAAAAAUGAAACUUUAAUUUUAUUAUUCUGAAGGCUUUAAAACAAACUGUAUUUAUAUCUUUGUUGUUAACAUCUAUCAGUUUUCAGAUGAGCUAAUAUCUGCAGGUAGAGCUUGACACAUGUAGCUUUAUUGAUUUUUUUUAAAAAAAUUCUUUAUUUAUUUGAAAGGCAGAGAGAAACAGACACAUCUCCCUUAUGUUGGUUUAUUCCCCAAAUGCCUGCAACAGUUGGGGCUGGGCUAGAUUGGAGUCAGGAGCCAAGAACUCAAACGAAAUCUCCCAUGCGGAUGACAGGGACCAAAUUACUUGAGCCAUCACCUGUUAUUCCCAUGGUGCUCAUUAACAAGAAGCUGGAAUCAGGAACAGAGUAGGUACUCUAACCCAAGCACUCUGAUAGAGGAUGUAGGUGUCCAGGCUGUGUCCUAGCACUGCACCAAAUACCCACUCCCACAUGUAGCUUUAGAUACUGAUCAAGAGUAUUUUAAAAUUCCUAUCACAACAUUGAAAUUCAGAGUUCAUAAAAAAUAGUAUUACAGAAAUUCAAGAAAAUAGCUUGCUUUCAGUAUUUUCUUGCAUGCUAUCUUCUGCAUGAGACCUCUCUUGACUUUCUUUUUAAAACCUCAGUAACUCACAGACCAUCUGAUUUCUUCAUUUGUUCCAUUGCCAAAGCUACAUGAACAGUUUCAUACUUUCCCUAUUUCACUUCUAACGUCCCAUACAUUUCACUUAUUUGUUAUGUUUAUCCACCAAUGGGUUCUUGGUGUAGAGAACUAUACCCAGCAUAUAGUGGAUGCUAAAUGAAUAUUUGUUGACCAAAUUGAAUUCAUGGACUAUUUUUAAAAGGCCAAUUACAUAAUUUUGAAGAGGGAAGCAGUAGGCAUCUAGAUAUUUAUAACUUGCAUAUUUACAACUGCUGGAGUAUCUGUAUUUACAAGUGUACAUUUAUUUAUUCAUUCCACAGGUAUCUAUUGAUUUUCUUCUGGGUAUCUGCCCUCAGAAAAAAGCGGUUUUUGGUCUCUCCAAUUUUGCAGAUUAGUGGAGGAAGCUAUAAUACAGUUUUAUAAAUAGUAUUAUUAAGACAGUCUCAGAGUGAUAGGAUAUAUCUAGGUAUCUUUGUCCUAGGCUGACUGGGUCCAGGUUCUUGCCUCCAAUGCAAGGUAGAAUUUGAGGGAAAGAUGUAGGCAAAGGUCAGCAGACAAGCAACAUUUAUUUGCAGACAAAGUGAAAGUUCACACUUAAGGAGUGCAGACAAGCUCAAGAGAGAACUGCAUUCAGUGAGAUUUUGAUUCAUCCCUUUUUUCUGCCAAGGGCUAUUUGCAUAUUUGUAACAUCACUUGUGUGCCAUGCAAAAUUAUCAACUUAAAAAUUAGCCUGCUUUAGAUUUAUUGAAUUGAGUCCUGCCUGCGGUUGCCAUGGUAGGGCCAGACCCAAAGACUUUGCAGACCUUAUGGGGGCGAGAUGUUCUCCACCACCGCAAGACGCGGGGGUGGCGCCAGGGCUGUACUUGAAUAUUCAUAAAGGAUGGGGUUUGAGGCAAGGCUUGAGCGCCACCCAUUUCCUUGCCGUUCUUUGGAAAUCUUGGCCAAGUCGUGGUGCCAGGAGCAUGGUGGGAAUAGGUGUGUCAGGCAUAGUAUUUUUAUUAUAACGACUUAAUAAUUAGCUAAAUGCCAUCAUGUGGAUGCAGCUGGCAGCCCUUUUGGGUCAGUUCUAAGCAGUGAAACUGCAGUGGCCAUGGUUUCCUGCUGCACAGGAGGGGUGGUGUUUGGGUGGCGCAGCCAGGUUGCCCUGCAAGUGGGAUUGCAACAAGGGGUCGGUGCCCCCGCUCCUUUUUGCUAGCUACUGCCCGACUAUAUCAUUUUAAGAUAGCGCUCUAAACAGAAGAUCUAUACCACACUUUGUUUUAAUUUUUUGUUGGCCUCAAGGAUCUUCACAUGGAGACUGUAUGAAUGUGUGUGUGUAUAAUUUGCUUUCAAAGGUAAUGGAAGGAAAUUAUUACAAGGGUUAUUAAAAAUAACUUUAGAGAGGGAGUGAUUUACUUUGAUCACCAACCUGGAAUUACAAGGAGGAUCUUCAGAAGUUAAAGGGAAAUACAUUUGAUGACAAAGCUGUCCAUGGAUUUCAAAAUGUUUUCACACCAAGAUAAAUUUAUUUAAUUUCAUUUCUGUGAACUUUUUGAAAUAAUUUUUUAAAAUAGAAAAUGAUUCAAAAUCUUUCUUCUAUUACAACUUGAUUUCUUCUUGUUCAUGUCAUUUUACAUGGUAUUUGAAAUGCAAAAAUCAGAAUAUAAUAAUAGAAAAUGAGUAAAUUAUGAUAUUUGUCAUAAAAUUAGUGCUAAAUUGUGUGUGUGUGUGUGUGUAAUUGGAAGCACCCUUUGAUUCUUUUUUAUAUAGCUUCUAACUUAAAAAGUAUAUCUAAUUUAAAGAUAUGGGAUUUAAAGUUAGAAGAAAACUUAGAGAAUAACUGAGGUUUUGGGACCAGUGUUGUGGCAUAGUAGAUUAAGCUGCUGCCUGCAUUGUCCACAUGCCACUAGUUCAGGUCCCAUUGCUCCACAACGGAUCCAGCUCCCGGGUAACACACCUGGGAAGGCAGCAGAAGAUGCCAGUGCUUGGGCCCUGGUCAACCAUGUCGGAGACCUGUAUGGAGUCCUAAGCUGCUGGCUUCAGUCUGGCCCAGGCUUAACCAUUGUGGACAUUGGGGAAUGAAUUAUCAGAUGGGAGGUCUCUCUUGAUACCUCUCUCUCUCUUUUACUUUGCCUUCCAAAUAAACAAAUAAAUAAGUAAUCUACAAAAGAACAAAAAAGAAAAUAUCUGAGGUUUUAUUUUACAAAUGAGAAAACCGAGCUCCAAAUAACUGAAUGAACUUGACAGAAGUCUCACAGUUAAUACAACAAUGGAAUUCAACACCAGUUUGCUGAUUGUCAGUCUGGACUUUCUAGUGCACCUUUCUGUAGUUGAUUUAAUGUGGUACUCCUAGGCUUUGCCUGGCUUGGAAAGGAGUUUCUGUGUAAGCUAUCUUGUCCUCAGAGUACAUACAGUAAACAUCCCUUGUAGAACAUGUCAUUGAGGAUGCAAUUAUGCUAGAUAACUUUUAACUUGUUUCUACAAAAUACUUUUCAAUGGGAUUCAUUUUUUUUACAUUAUAGUACAAAUCUUUUAGAUUUUAAAUCAGAAAACUACGUAUUCUUAGGUGAAUUUUAUUUUUCUAGCAAGAGCUGAAGUGUAUGAACAUACUGAUUUCACCCCCCAAAUUCAUUUGAGACCUUUUUUUUUUUUUUUUUUUUUAGAAAAAAAAAAUGAGUAGCUGGUUAGGUUUUUGCAGGCUUUUGCUUUGCUCCUUUGAUUACAGGUGAAACAAAGGGAAAAACAGGAUACAUGUUGGAUUAACAAACAGGAUGGAGAGGCUGCAGACUGGGGACAGAGUCUGUUGACUGCCUUUCCUGAUGGUAUAAUUAACAGCAUUUGCAGCAAUGUGCUCAGUCAGAAGACACUUAAUUCACUCUAUCUGGUGAUUAUGAGAGUGAUGAAUAAGACUUCUAUUAUCUUUUGAAAAGGUAUUUGAUCAUGUCCCUAACUACGAUAAAGGAAGAGAAAUGUUCCCAUUAUCGUGAGUUUAGAAUUGCGAAAAUGUAGCAGAAACCCAUCCUGACCUUCAAGGUAGUGUGAAAUGUGCCUGCUGUUGCUUUCACUUCCCAUGUACUAAGUGUCAUCGAGUAUAAGGAAAUGAAGUGCAAUUACUCAUUUCUUGACGUUCGUUUAUUUUCAGCACUUAAAGUGUGGAUGGAUUUCUGCCUUCAGACACUCCUCCUGUUUGUUGCUUCCCUUUGUUGUCAAGAGUCUGGCGAUCGCUUGCCUGGGCAUUAUCAGCCCUGUGCUUUUUCUUUUGGAAGAUAAUAAAGGUCAAACAUCCCCCUAGACCAGUGAAGUAUGUUCAAAUCAAUAAAGCAGGAUUCAAAUAGCUCAGGGAAAGCUUCAGAGUUUCAUCUGCCAGACGAUUGUGAACACCAGAAGGUACUUGUUUUUAUUUGUUUUUCUUUUUUAAGACUCCAACACAAUUGACACACAAAGUAAUUUAUUUGCCUUUUGGAGCUUUCUAAUAGAAUAAAAAAAAGGGAUAGUACUGUAAUGAAUAUCUUCACGGCACAAAUCUUGGAUUAUAUUGGUAUUGCAUGGGUCAGUUAGAAAAAAAAGUACUUUGAUUUAUCGCAUGAGAUUUUACUUUAGUUAUAGAAAUGUGAGCCUCAUAGGUAAGCACUACUUAGAUAAGAAUUUGUGAAAUGAGUUUGUUGGUGUUUGAUGGGUCAACCUUAAAUAAUUAGAAUAUGGAAAGUUUUUUGUUAUUUCAAAAUGUGAGAUAUAAAUAGGCCAUUUUUGUUUGUUUUAACCUUUGGCUGUAUAAGUCAGUAUUUCUUGCCCCAACAGUUUUAAUUAGCAUUUAUUAUUCUAAAAAAAAUAGAAGAGUGGCCACUAUUAGAUUUUGUUUCUUCCUUUUGUCUUUAAGAUCUGGUAUUAUGUGUUUUAGCCCAUUUGUGUUGUUACAACAAAAUACUAUAACCUGGUUAACUUGUAAAUAAGAGAAAUUUAUUUCUUGUAUUUUGAGUGGCUGGGGAGUGCAUAAUCAAGGCUCUAGCAGUCAGUGUCCUGACAGAGCCACUUCCUGUUCAUAGAUGGUGACUUCUCAAUGGGUUCUGCCGUGGUGGAGGGGGUGAAUGAACUACCUUGGGCCCACUUUAUAAGGGCAUUAAUCCCAUUCGAAAAGGCUCUGAUUUAUGACAUAGUUGACAUCCUAUUAGGUCCCCUCACCUAAUACCAUCACCUUGGGAGUUAGAACUUUAACAUAAAUGUCAAGAGAACACUGACAUUCAAACCACAGCAUGGCUUUUGUUGGUUUUAAUUGGCUUAUUUACAUUUUUGCUUGAAGGGAAGAAUGACACAGAGAGAGGGAGAGACAGAGAAAGAUAUUCCAUCUGCUCAUUUAGUACCCAAAUGGCCGCAACAGUCAGGGCUGGGCCAGGCUGAAGUGAAGUGCCAGGAACUUCAUACUGUCUCCCAUGUGGGUGACAGGGACUCAAGUACCUAAGCCAUCAUCAGCUGCUUCCCAGGCACAGUAGCAGGGAGCUGAAUUGGCAGUGGAGCAGCCAGCACUGGAACCAGCACUCUGAUAUGCAGUGCCGGUGUCGGGAGCAGUGUCCUAACCUGCUGCGCCACAACUCUGCCUGAGGGUGUUCUGUUCUAGUAGAAGUUCCACCAGUGAGAAUCCACUGAAGUAAGUGUUUGUAUUCAUGCCAAUCUGUACCUCAGUAUAGUAUUGACUGGCAUUGUAAACUUAUCCUGCAAAACAGAACAUAACUGCAAACUGUCCUUAAGAAGUUUUGAGGCAGAAACAUGGGAGCAUCACUUGAUUCACAUUAAGGAUUGGUUAACUGAUAAUUCAAAGAUGUAAAAUUAGAAAACCUUUUGGAACCUUGUAAGUCUGACAUAGAAAUGUGAGUACAAUAAUGGAAGUCAAACAUUAGAAAUUUAUAAUUGCCGGUUUAAUUUAAGCAAUAUAUUUCAAAGAAAUAUAAUUAGUUAAAUCAACAAUCAACUUAAUGUUGCUACUAUAUACUGAGACAACUUGAGUAACCUCUGUUCGUAACCAAAAAUUUUAAAGAUUUUAUUUAUUUAUUAGAGAGGUAGAGUUACAGACAGUGAGAGGGAGAGACAGAGAGAAAGGUCUUCCAUCUGUUGGUUCACUCCCCCAAUGGCCACAAUGACCAGAGCUGGGCUGAUCUGAAGCCAGGAGCCAGGGUCUUCUUCUGGGUCUACCCCAGGGGGAUGCAGGGGCCCAGGUGCUUGGGCCAUGUUCCACUGCUUUCCCAGGCCAUAGCAGAGAGCUGUAUCAGAAGAGGAAUAGCCCGAAUUCGAACUGGUACCCAUAUGGGAUGCUUGCGCCACAGGCAGAGGAUUAACAUACUGUACCACAGUGCUGGCCCCACCAAACAGCUUAAAAAUCACUUUAACAUAAGUUGUUUUACUUGUUUCUCAUGAGAGGUUGAUAAGACUCUUCAACCCUUCAAAGUUCUUCAGUUUUUUAAAUUCAAUGUUUUUGUUAUAGUAAAAUAUACAUAACAAAAUUUACCAUUUCAACCAUUUUUAAAAAUUUCUGUUGAUUUUUUUUGAAAGGUUGAGAGAGAUUGUAAGAGGCAGAGAGAGAUCUAUCCGCUGUUUCACUCCCCACAUCUCCAUAACAGCCUGGGUUGGACCAGGCUGAAGCCAGGAGACUGGAAAUCAAUCCUGCACUGCCUCCAAGGCUGUGCAUCAGUAGGAAGCUGGAUCAGAAGCAGAGGAGUCAGAAAUCAAACGAGGCAACCCAAUGCUGAUGUGGGUAUCCCAGGCAGUGACCUAACUGCUGUGCCAAUGGCCCAUCCCCAUCUUAACCAUUUUCAAGUGUGCAGUUCAGUGGUAUAGAAUGCAUUCACAUUGUUGUGCAACCAUCACCACCAUUUAUAUACAGAAUAUUUUCAUCUUCCUAACUGAAACUCUGUACCCGUUCAACAGUAAUCCCCCCAUUUCCUGCUCCCUCCCACCCUUGGCAGCCAUCAUUCUACUCUCUGACUUCUUUAGUUUGAUUACUGUAGUUACUUCAUAUAAGGGGGAUCGUAAGGUAUUUGUCGUUUUGCUGCUCGCUAUCUCACUCAGCACAAUGUUUUCCAGGUUCAUCCAUGUUGUGACGUGUCAAAAAUUUCUGGCUAUUAAUUCAUGGUGUGUAUACACUACAUUUUGUUUGUAUUUUCAUCUGUAGAUGAACAUGGGUUACUUCCACCUUUUGGCUGUUGUGAAUAACGCUGCUAUGAAAAUGGGUGUACAGAUCUCUCUUUGAAACUGUGAUUUCAAUUGUUUUCAGUGUAUGCUUAGAAGUGGUAUUCCUAGAUGCUAUAUUUAAUUGUUUGAGUAAACAUCAUACUGUUUUCCAGAGUAGUUAAAUCAUUUUAUAUUCCUAUCAGCAAUGUGCAAGUUUUCUGAUUUCUCUACCUUUUUGGUAACACUUGCUAUUUUAUUGAAAAAAAAUUUUUUUUGACAGGCAGAGUUAGACAGUGAGAGAGAGACAGAGAGAAAGGUCGUCCUUCCCUUGGUUCACCCCCCAAAUGGCCACUAUGGCCGGCACUGCACCCAUCCGAAGCAUCCGAAGCCACAGGCCUCACUGAAAUUUUUUUUGAAUUCUUGGGCUAAUAGAAGUGGUGUGCAUUGCAUUGUAAUUUUGUUUUAAAUUUCCCUAAUGAUUUGUGAUGGUUAAGACCUUUUCAUAUGCUUAUUGGUCAUUCAUAUAUUUUCCUUGAUGAAAUGUUUAUUCAAGUUCUUUGCUAAUCUUUUACUUUUUGUUGUUGUUUGUUAUUAGUGAUUAGUUCUUUAUAUAUUCUGGCUAGUACUCUGUAUCACAAAAGAAAUUUACAGAUAUUUCAUUCCAUGUGUCACCUUUUCACUUUAUUGAAUGUGUCCUUUGAUGCACAAAACUUUUUUAUUUUCUGUGAAGCAUAUUUAUCAAUAUUUUCUUUUGCUCCCUGUGCAGCUGAUAUUAUAUCCAAGAAAUCAAACAGUGAGUGCAUAACAAGUCAGGGCAGUUUCUGUUUAGUAGUACAAAAUAAAUCCAAGUUGCAAGGAAUGGAGAAAUUGAAAACAGCAAAUACACACGACUUUUCUAAGGUGGUUUUGCUGCAAAAAAAAAAAAAAGAACAAAAAAGGAUAGAUAGAUACAUUAUAGAAGCAGUACAGCCAAGAGCAAAUUUUAAAGAGUAAGAAAUAACAGCAUGUUUGUGUGUUGCUGGGAAGUAUUCAAUGAGCAGGGGAAAAUUCAUGCAAAAAGCAAAGAGCUAGUUGCUAGAGCAAUGUCGUUGAGUAGGUGAGUUUGAGAAGUCAUGAGAUUGGUCUCAGAUAGGAGCAGAGAGUUUACCUAUACCAUCAGGAAGGAAGGGGAGGAUAUGGAGGUGCAGCUUUGUGAGUAGAAGUGGCACUGGAGCUCUACUGAUGUGGUUUUGAUUGAUUGCUGAGUUUUCUUAAAUAAUUAAGAAUGCGUCAUAAGCUUACUGUGAGAGAAGGGAAGAGAAGGCAUAUGUUUAUGAUGCGUGGAAGAUGUAGAAAAAUCACCUAGGAGAGUAAGUGGGGUAGGAAAUAUAGCAUAGUAGCCAGGCAUUUCAGGGUUACACAAGCCACUCCUAGAUUCAACUGAUUUGUUAACAAGACAUACAGGACAGGGCAUACAGCCAUAUAUGAUUUCUUAUGGUGAAAGAGCACAAAAGAAAUUAAACAAGGAUCACACGGUAUCAGGACUGAACAUCUAAGUGUAGUUUUCCAGCUGAGUAGCAUGCUUAAUUUCUUCAGUAACCAGUUAGGCAGCACAUGUGAAAUGCUGCUUCCAAGGAAGCUCAGUACUGGGAGUUGGUCAUGCAGAAAUUCUGAGUCUUGCUCAUAUUAAAGCUUUAGACUUCCAGGUGGAAAGCCAGUGUUCUGAAUGAAUCAUCGUCCACACAAACAGUAUAGGCCCAGUGAACCUUCUUAUCAGGGAAUGGUUGACUCCUUCCUAAAAAUCCAAGUUCCAAGAUAGCAGUCAAAGGCCAAUUUUGUAAGUAGCUCUCUGUAAGGAUAGCCUUAGACAUCCCUGGUCUACAAUGUGACUUCUUUUCUGCAUGCUGGGAUAUACUUGAAAGCAGGACCCAUUUAAAAGCAGUAGUCAUCAUUUUAAAGUAAGAAUGAACAGCAUAGCUGUGUUUUCUUUCCCAUCCAUUGUUUGGCAUAGAAAGUGGAGAGUCAGAUUUAACUUGGGUCAAAGUGUUGCAAGUCACUACAUCAAAUCAUCAGAAAUGCAAGUUGAGAGUGUAUGAAGAGGAGCCGUUAUAAAUCUACUGUGAAAUGAGAAGUGAGCAGUGAAGACAAAGCGGACAUUGAAGGGUGAUACUGUGAGGAGAGAAAAAUAGAGGUCAGAAGAAAUGAGGGCAAGGGACUAUUGGAGAAGAAAAGGGAGGGAGUGGGAAGGAGAUGAGGUGGUUAGAGGUGGAAUGUAUGGAUCUCAGACUGUAAAGAUGUAGCUCUUGAUAAAUACAAGGUCUAGGUUUGCCCAAGAGCUGAAGGGCAGGAUAAUUGAAAGAGGAACUUGUAAGAAGCUAAAGAACUUAUAAGACAGCACUGGAAGGCCUUUCUGGGUGAAAUAACCAAGAAUUAAGUCAUGAGUAGUGCUGGAGAGAACCACAGUGAACUUGUGGGUGAUGCUUUUUAGAAAUGAAGCAGAAUGUCUUAGGAAUUGGCCAAUGAUUGAACCAUGAAGUAUAGGAAGUAGAGUGUAUAGAGACAAGAUAUUUAAUGCAGGUGUGAGUGACAAUGAAGCAGUGAGGAGAGGAGCAAGUUGUACCUCAAAAGCCAGCACAUGGUAGGAAAACAGCCACUAUUUUAUAGGUCUGGAUAGAAAGCACAGUCCUUAGAGAAAGCCAGGCUUCUGCUAUAUGUACCAAAACAGUGAAAGGAACUCCAAGAGGAGAUAAUGAAGACAGAGAUUUGGAUGGUGGUGGAUUUUAUUUCCAUAUUCAAUUUAAUUCUCAAAAGCAUAAUGCAAAUAUGUGGCAGGGUGGUGAGUGAGGAGGACCCUGUUAGAACUUUAUGAGAGUUAAAUUAUUGGAGGUGAGGAAAGACCUCAGACACUGAGGCUUCUUUUUUUUUAAUUUAUUUUUUAUCUUUAUUAUUUUUUUUUUGACAGGCAGAGUGGACAGUGAGAGAGAGAGACAGAGAGAAAGGUCUUCCUUUUUGCCGUUGGUUCACCCUCCAAUGGCUGCUGCGGCCGGCGUGUUGUGGCUGGCACACCGCGCUGAUCCGAAGGCAGGAGCCAGGUGCUUCUCCUGGUCUCCCAUGGGGUGCAGGGCCCAAGUACUUGGGCCAUCCUCCACUGCACUCCCUGACCACAGCAGAGAGCUGGCCUGGAAGGGGGGCAACCGGGACAGAAUCCGGCGCCCUGACCGGGACUAGAACCCGGUGUGCCGGUGCCGCUAGGAGGAGGAUUAGCCUAGUGAGCCGCGGCGCCAGCCGGUAAUGGAAGUUACCAGGCAGUUGGACUCCUGACCUUUCCCAACAUCUCUGGCAGAGCUCUUGUGCUUGACCUGUCUAAUGGUAGAGGCAGAAGUUCGAGGGUAGGAACGGUGGUUGUGCUGGGGGAGGACCUGAAUCAGAUCUCUCUCGACCCUCGUUGAGGGAAAGAUGCCCUCCCAGCUGGUCUCUGCUGAGCCUCUCAGGCACAGAAGGGCUACGGAGAACUUGGAUCACAUCCAUCUCUCUCUUGUUCCUUCAACACUUCAUCAACAGAUAAAGUGUUAGCACUUGAUUUAUAUCAGAGUGAAUGUAAGUCAGUUUCAUAAAUAGUUUUGGAGAUGAGUCUGAAAGCCUGAAAUACGGGAAAGAGAAUAGCAAUUGAAAAAAACAAGAGUCCAUUUUCCUGUUUUCUAUUCCUUCAUUCAGAUGGAGAAAUCGUCAUCCAAAAAGGCACCAAAGCUGGAAAGGGAAGGACAGAGGCAGAAGCUACUUUUAGAGUAACUUGGUAGUGAGGUUUUUAUGUUCACAUGUAAAUUGUUUAUGUGUAAGUAAAAGACAGAAUAUAAUGAAUUCUCUAACUAGACCAGGUAAAAUCAUUGUCUAGGAGCACUAAACAAUGAAAGCAAGAAAAGUGGGAUUUUGAAUUCUUUGUGCAGUCAGUUCUCUAAGUCUCAGAGAAAAAGAAAGGUUGUAUUUAGAGAGUGAGAUUUUUUUUCUUAUGCUUUAAAUUCAUCUUGGGCGUAAAAAAUACUUUCCUUACAGUGAAAAGGAUUGUUGAUACUUUGCACCUACAUACACUGUCUGUCCUAAAAGUUAGCAUAGCUGCAGUAUCCUCCAUACUAUUUUCAUCUCAUCAGGGAGCCAAUUUGGAACUAAAAACAGAUCUGAACAGAUUUGAUAGGGCAAAGCAUUUACUGAUUUCAUAUAAUUCAACCUGUAUAACUGCCCUACUUUGUAAUAGUUUGAUAAUACACCUGAUCAAAAAGCACUACAGUAAUGAUUCUAAGAAUCAUAAUACAAUAUUGACUUUGCUCAUCUCAUCUGCUUCCAAAUGGACCCCCCCCCCCCCACACACACUGGAAAACUCAUCACUGUGUAACUUUUAAUCAUUUUCUAGUGAAGAGUUGCCUAGCUUCGCAGUUUGUCAGCACUAUCUGAGGUGUUGACUGGCUUCUUAAUUAAAAGGGAGACACAAACUGGUGCUGGGGUUUUUGAGUCUGUAGUUUCCUGUCAUCAUCAAUUACCCCAUGGUUCGUUUUGAGAAUUUUCUUAGGCCUGGGACUCCAGAAGAAAACAAUGAACUUGGGUCCGAGAUUCACAGGUAUGGAUGAGACCUAAAUCUUUACUAACUAAUUAUAGGUUGUUUGUGAAAAGAGGAACGUUGGGCUAAGAUGAACAGUGGGAUUGGACAUGGUAGAAGACGUGUUUGGAUUUAAAUCCUGGCUCUGCCUCUUACGGGCUCUAUGACCUUGGACAGGUUGCUUGAUUAUUCUGAGCCUCAGUUUGUCUGAAGAGUGUAUAUGCUGCAGCAGUGUUGUGAGAGCCUGGAAAUACCUUCAGUGACGUUCGUGCUGUGUGAUAAGUACUUGCUUUUUAUUACAAAGAUUUCCAUUAAUCCUAUGAUGAUGUAUGGAUUUUUACAUUGAAAUUUCCUUCUGUUUUUCUUUUAUUCUUUAAGGAGGGGAGGAACAUUUUUUUUCUCUCCUCCCUGUUUAAGCUCCAGCAUAGACAAAUCUAUCCCCUAGAGUACAUCUUGUUCAUGCCUUGUCUGACAUUUGGAUUAAAGCAGCUAUAUUGGAUGCCUCUGAGCUUCUUUCUGUGUGUGCGUAUCAGCCGGAGGGCUAGUCAAUGCCGCUGUUCUAAUGUGCUAUAACAACCUGUUUUGUUUAAAGGCAAGGCUGUCAUUUGAUGGAAGAAUCACGUUUAUGAACAUUCCCAUUUGCUUUUCUAGUAAAGACAUGUGACAACUAAUCUCAUGUAUUUUUCAUCCAAAAGGAGUAAAUGCUUUCAGUUUGUAACAAAUUGACCUUUAAGCUCUAUUUAAACUGGAAAGUGGACGCUGUUAGUUUUGAUAUUUGUUGUGUUUGAAAUUUUACAGGAAAAAGAUCAGCAAUAUAGAGAAUUUUUUCUACGCCAUUAAAGUAUAGUAAUUUCAUUGUCUUUUUGUGAGAAAUGAGGAGAAUGGUUGCCAGGAGACUAAAAUGAAUCUUAGGAUAUUAGAUGAAAAAAAUUUCCCCUACCAGCUACUAGAACAAAACCUGCAAAGGGAAAAUACUCACAGCAGCAUUCCCCAAUGGCUGGAGCUUUACACUUGGUUGGACACAUCAAUAAAACUUGUCCAGAAAAUAAAGCCAGAUAUUUUAUGCCUACACAUAUUUGGGGAUAAGAGACUUUGAAGCUUCCUCUUUCAAAUUUGUUUUAUACCCUCAAAUUAUUGUAGUCUUUAACUUGCCUAUAUUGGUUGACCAGCAUCAGGUAUUUUAAAUCCCUUUCACACCUAUCAUUAUUUCUUAUUGUUCCUAUACAUAUAUUUUCAUUUUCUUUUUGACCACUGAUGCUUUUCAGUGAGUGGUUUCAGGGCUAUGUGAAUCCUGUCCCCAGCCCCUGUUCUGUGACAGCCAAUUAUUUAUUGUGAUUCUUAGUUUUUGGUUGUCCAUGAACAAGUGUAGUAUGGUAACUGCUAGCCCAUCAGUCCUAAUAUUUCUUUUUCAUAGAGCUUAUUCUGAGGAAUGCUUCAGGCCCUUCUCUAUCCAGGAAAAAUUUAAUCCUUUGCAAAAUCUCUAUUGGCAUUCAGAGAACUUUUAUCUCAGUGUUCAAUGCAGAAAGCUAAUAUUUUUUAGGGAUCAAUUCAAAUGCCUUCAAAGAUCAAGCAGUUAACAAAUAAGUGAUGUGGGAAACUGGGGAACUAGAAGAGAAGAAGGCAGAGUGGAGUCUGGGGUCACAGAACAUUACAUGACUUCUGCAGAUAUCUGCAACACUAUGUCUAACUCGACUCAGCUAACCCCUGCUUGCUCCAUCUGGUCAAACUGUUGAUGAUAUAUUGCUUCAAUUUAAUUCUUACAGUGAUUGGCUGGGGAUAUUUUAUUAUUCCUAUUUUACAGAUAAGAAAGUUGAGGCUCAGAAUAUUUAGAUAAGUUACCCAAGGCCAUAGUGAUGUUUAGGAAACAGAAACUGAAAAUCCUAUCCUCUGCUCCAAACCCCAUGUUAAUUCUCUUUGAAUAGAACUGCUUCCAUAGUAGCUUGAAUGUAUCCACAAGUUAAUCAACAACUCAUUUAUCCAACCCAGAACAUUCUGGCUCAUUCCCUAGUUUUGCAGUGCUUAGAAUGUUACUUAUCACAUAGAAUGACAAGACUAGAUAUUAUUAGCUAGAUUCUGGUAUUUAUUAUAACUAAGGACUUCCUGAAAUUACAGAGAGAGAUUGUUGCCUAUAUGUAUUUGAUUGUUUGUGGUGAACUCGAAUUGGGGAGAUUUAUCGCAUUAUUAAAAUCCUUGAAAGCAGCUGUAGUCUUCAAAUUCAAAGAAAACAAGGUUAAAGUUUACCGUCUGAAGUUUUUUCUUUCUCUUAUGACACAAGAAGAAGUGACUUAUGAAAAACUCAUACAAAAAUAUAAAUUACUUAUGAAUUAUGAAUUAGAGGAUAAUUGGCAUUUUAAAAACUUCUGGGCCGGCGCCGUGGUUCACUAGGCUAAUCCUCCGCCUAGCAGCACCGGCACACCGGGUUCUAGUCCCGGUUGGGGCGCCGGAUUCUGUCCCGGUUGCCCCUCUUCCAGGCCAGCUCUCUGCUGUGGCCAGGGAGUGCAGUGAGGAUGGCCCAAGUCCUUGGGCCCUGCACCAGCAUGGGAGACCAGGAUAAGCACCUGGCUCCUGCUAUCGCAUCAGCGCGGAUCAGCCGCAGCUGCCAUUGGAGGGUGAACCAAUGGCAAAGGAUGACCUUUCUCUUUGUCUCUCUCUCACUAUCCACUCUGCCUGUCAAAAAAAAAAAAAAAAAAAAAACUGCUGAAAAUAUGCUUCUAUAAAUUUUUUGAAAUCAAAUACUUUGUUAAAUUUAUAUUUAAAUGAAAGCCUUUAAAUGAAAACUUUCCUUUUCCUUUGAAUUUAUUUUUCAUGAUCCAAAUUUUUCAAAAAUUUUGUUUGAAACAUAGAGGAACACAUAGUGAGUACAGACUACAGAGACAUAGGCAUACAGGGACAGACAGAGACGGAGAGUGCCUACCCACUGGUUUCCUCCCCAGAUGUCUGCAAUGGCUGUGGCUGUGCCCAAAGCUGAGAUUCAAGAAUGCAGUUCAAGUCUCCCAUGUGGGAGUUAGAAGCUUUUACUUGAGCCAUCACUGCUUCCUCCCAGGUUCUGCAUUAGCAACAUGCUCAAAACAGGAGCUGCAGCCAGAGAUCAAACCCAGAAAAGGAGAAGACACACUGAAACACAGAAGAGGAGACUGCAUGAAGCUGCAGGCAGAGACUGGAGUGAUGCAUUUGAACCAAGGAACAGCAAGGAUGGCCAACAUCCACCAGAAUUCAGGACAGAG
Non-coding RNA from Oryctolagus cuniculus (rabbit), 23475 nucleotides. NCBI's taxonomy places the organism in Eukaryota, Metazoa, Chordata, Mammalia, Lagomorpha, Leporidae. The record is from RefSeq and is a predicted model, not a curated record.